CCCACUUCCGCUUUCCUAAUACAUGCAGUCGAGCGAAUGGAUUGAGAGCUUGCUCUCAAGAAGUUAGCGGCGGACGGGUGAGUAACACGUGGGUAACCUGCCCAUAAGACUGGGAUAACUCCGGGAAACCGGGGCUAAUACCGGAUAAUAUUUUGAACUGCAUGGUUCGAAAUUGAAAGGCGGCUUCGGCUGUCACUUAUGGAUGGACCCGCGUCGCAUUAGCUAGUUGGUGAGGUAACGGCUCACCAAGGCAACGAUGCGUAGCCGACCUGAGAGGGUGAUCGGCCACACUGGGACUGAGACACGGCCCAGACUCCUACGGGAGGCAGCAGUAGGGAAUCUUCCGCAAUGGACGAAAGUCUGACGGAGCAACGCCGCGUGAGUGAUGAAGGCUUUCGGGUCGUAAAACUCUGUUGUUAGGGAAGAACAAGUGCUAGUUGAAUAAGCUGGCACCUUGACGGUACCUAACCAGAAAGCCACGGCUAACUACGUGCCAGCAGCCGCGGUAAUWSGUAGGUGCAAWAWUYCSGGAAUUAUUGGGCGUAAAGCGCGCGCAGGUGGUUUCUUAAGUCUGAUGUGAAAGCCCACGGCUCAACCGUGGAGGGUCAUUGGAAACUGGGAGACUUGAGUGCAGAAGAGGAAAGUGGAAUUCCAUGUGUAGCGGUGAAAUGCGUAGAGAUAUGGAGGAACACCAGUGGCGAAGGCGACUUUUCURSUUAACUGACACUGAGGCGCGWKYSUGRGGAGMAAACAGGAUUAKAUACCCUGGUAGUCCACGCCGUAAACGAUGAGUGCUAAGUGUUAGAGGGUUUCCGCCCUUUAGUGCUGAAGUUAACGCAUUAAGCACUCCGCCUGGGGAGUACGGCCGCAAGGCUGAAACUCAAAGGAAUUGACGGGGGCCCGCACAAGCGGUGGAGCAUGUGGUUUACCGCAACGCGAAGAACCUUACCAGGUCUUGACAUCCUCUGAAAACCCUAGAGAUAGGGCUUCUCCUUCGGGAGCAGAGUGACAGGUGGUGCAUGGUUGUCGUCAGCUCGUGUCGUGAGAUGUUGGGUUAAGUCCCGCAACGAGCGCAACCCUUGAUCUUAGUUGCCAUCAUUAAGUUGGGCACUCUAAGGUGACUGCCGGUGACAAACCGGAGGAAGGUGGGGAUGACGUCAAAUCAUCAUGCCCCUUAUGACCUGGGCUACACACGUGCUACAAUGGACGGUACAAAGAGCUGCAAGACCGCGAGGUGGAGCUAAUCUCAUAAAACCGUUCUCAGUUCGGAUUGUAGGCUGCAACUCGCCUACAUGAAGCUGGAAUCGCUAGUAAUCGCGGAUCAGCAUGCCGCGGUGAAUACGUUCCCGGGCCUUGUACACACCGCCCGUCACACCACGAGAGUUUGUAACACCCGAAGUCGGUGGGGUAACCUUUUGGAGCCAGCCGCUCUAAGUUUAAGCCUUUAAUUGG
This 1452-nucleotide ribosomal RNA is filed under the name Bacillus thuringiensis. RNAcentral describes it as "bacterial SSU rRNA". It matches the Rfam family "Bacterial small subunit ribosomal RNA". Lineage: Bacteria; Bacillati; Bacillota; Bacilli; Caryophanales; Bacillaceae. The record is from RNAcentral.